This 74-nucleotide transfer RNA is filed under the name Camelus bactrianus (Bactrian camel). It matches the Rfam family "tRNA". From Rfam's summary of the family: Transfer RNA (tRNA) molecules are approximately 80 nucleotides in length. Their secondary structure includes four short double-helical elements and three loops (D, anti-codon, and T loops). Further hydrogen bonds mediate the characteristic L-shaped molecular structure. tRNAs have two regions of fundamental functional importance: the anti-codon, which is responsible for specific mRNA codon recognition, and the 3' end, to which the tRNAs corresponding amino acid is attached (by aminoacyl-tRNA synthetases). tRNAs cope with the degeneracy of the genetic code in two manners: having more than one tRNA (with a specific anti-codon) for a particular amino acid; and 'wobble' base-pairing, i.e. permitting non-standard base-pairing at the 3rd anti-codon position. Lineage: Eukaryota; Metazoa; Chordata; Mammalia; Artiodactyla; Camelidae. RNAcentral also lists the same sequence under 2 other names. The record is from Rfam by way of RNAcentral.
GAGGGUAUAGCUCAGUGGUUAGAGCACAUGCUUAGCAUGCAUGAGGGGCCCGGGGUCAAUCCCCAGUACCAUUA